Molecule: ribosomal RNA, 646 nt
Filed under: Digitodesmium chiangmaiense
Lineage: Eukaryota; Fungi; Ascomycota; Dothideomycetes; Pleosporales
Description: SSU rRNA
Rfam family: Eukaryotic small subunit ribosomal RNA
Source: RNAcentral
AUCCCGACACGGGGAGGUAGUGACAAUAAAUACUGAUACAGGGCUCUUUUGGGUCUUGUAAUUGGAAUGAGUACAAUUUAAACCUCUUAACGAGGAACAAUUGGAGGGCAAGUCUGGUGCCAGCAGCCGCGGUAAUUCCAGCUCCAAUAGCGUAUAUUAAAGUUGUUGCAGUUAAAAAGCUCGUAGUUGAAUCUUUGGCCUGGCUGGCGGGUCCGCCUCACCGCGUGCACUUGUCCGGCCGGGCCUUCUCUUCUGGAGAACCGCAUGCCCUUCACUGGGCGUGUUGGGGACCAGGACUUUUACUUUGAAAAAAUUAGAGUGUUCAAAGCAGGCCUUUGCUCGAAUACGUUAGCAUGGAAUAAUAGAAUAGGACGUGCGGUCCUAUUUUGUUGGUUUCUAGGACCGCCGUAAUGAUUAAUAGGGACAGUCGGGGGCAUCAGUAUUCAAUUGUCAGAGGUGAAAUUCUUGGAUUUAUUGAAGACUAACUACUGCGAAAGCAUUUGCCAAGGAUGUUUUCAUUAAUCAGUGAACGAAAGUUAGGGGAUCGAAGACGAUCAGAUACCGUCGUAGUCUUAACCAUAAACUAUGCCGACUAGGGAUCGGGCGGUGUUAUCGAUUUGACCCGCUCGGCACCUUGCGAGAAAUC